This 582-nucleotide ribosomal RNA is filed under the name Kluyvera sp. Its description in RNAcentral is "bacterial SSU rRNA". It matches the Rfam family "Bacterial small subunit ribosomal RNA", at positions 120 to 697 of the family's 1533-position model. Lineage: Bacteria; Pseudomonadati; Pseudomonadota; Gammaproteobacteria; Enterobacterales; Enterobacteriaceae. The record is from RNAcentral.
GGGAAACUGCCCGAUGGAGGGGGAUAACUACUGGAAACGGUAGCUAAUACCGCAUAACGUCGCAAGACCAAAGUGGGGGACCUUCGGGCCUCACACCAUCGGAUGUGCCCAGAUGGGAUUAGCUAGUAGGUGGGGUAAUGGCUCACCUAGGCGACGAUCCCUAGCUGGUCUGAGAGGAUGACCAGCCACACUGGAACUGAGACACGGUCCAGACUCCUACGGGAGGCAGCAGUGGGGAAUAUUGCACAAUGGGCGCAAGCCUGAUGCAGCCAUGCCGCGUGUAUGAAGAAGGCCUUCGGGUUGUAAAGUACUUUCAGUGGGGAGGAAGGCGUUAAGGUUAAUAGCCUUGGCGAUUGACGUUACCCGCAGAAGAAGCACCGGCUAACUCCGUGCCAGCAGCCGCGGUAAUACGGAGGGUGCAAGCGUUAAUCGGAAUUACUGGGCGUAAAGCGCACGCAGGCGGUCUGUCAAGUCGGAUGUGAAAUCCCCGGGCUCAACCUGGGAACUGCAUUCGAAACUGGCAGGCUAGAGUCUUGUAGAGGGGGGUAGAAUUCCAGGUGUAGCGGUGAAAUGCGUAGAGAU